This 350-nucleotide long non-coding RNA is filed under the name Sorghum bicolor (sorghum). RNAcentral describes it as "long non-coding RNA (SBIC_LNC016720)". The record is from RNAcentral. Lineage: Eukaryota; Viridiplantae; Streptophyta; Magnoliopsida; Poales; Poaceae.
AAGAAUUCCCUUCUUUCCCAUCAUCAGUAGUGAAGCUCAAAAUUUCUGAAACUGGGUUCGCUAUUCUUCCAGAAAUACAUACUCCAAGCUCUCAAGUUUCAUCAUCAUUGGUAUGCCUGCAGAUUCAACAAUGCCCAAAUCUUACAUCAUUAGAGCAAGGACUGUUUUGCCAAAAAUUAUCAACACUGCAACAAUUAACCAUCACAGGCUGCCCAGAAUUAACUCACCUGCCAGUUGAAGGAUUCAGUGCCCUGACUGCUCUUAAGAGUAUUCAUAUCCAUGAUUGUCCGAAGCUGGAACCAUCCCAAGAACAUAGUUUGCUGCCCUCCAUGCUUGAAGAUCUACGCAUC